Molecule: ribosomal RNA, 318 nt
Filed under: Triticum aestivum (bread wheat)
Lineage: Eukaryota; Viridiplantae; Streptophyta; Magnoliopsida; Poales; Poaceae
Description: partial small subunit ribosomal RNA
Source: RNAcentral
AUGUGUUAUGUUUGCGUUACUAUGGAUAGCCCAUUGUUGUCGAACUUGCAGAGACUGACAAAGGUGACCAGAACAUCAGAAGUGCCCUACAAUCGAGAGGAGCAACUUAUCAAAUUUAAAACCUCAAAGGGAGAGGUAAACCAGCACAUGGAGUAUGUUUCCGAAAGCAGAAAAGGACGCACACUAUUGCCGCUAUCUUGCAGUGGGUUCUUGAGCAAAUCUCUCCCUUGGAUCAAACGAUCAACCACUGGAAAAGGGGGGAUAAGUACAUGUAUGAUACUGCAACUAACAAACAGAGACAACAUGGAAAAUAAAUGA